RNAcentral lists this long non-coding RNA (1125 nucleotides) under Trifolium pratense (red clover). RNAcentral describes it as "long non-coding RNA (TPRA_LNC013714)". The record is from RNAcentral. Lineage: Eukaryota; Viridiplantae; Streptophyta; Magnoliopsida; Fabales; Fabaceae.
AAACAUCCAAUGAUACAAUUUUCAAUAGCAAGUUGGGUGAAAGGCUUUGAAUAAAUUAAGGUGUGUUCACUAAUAAAUCAUGUAACUGGUAUACAUGAAGACAAGAUGUUUACAAUCCUUAUUUCAAUCAUAUGUAGCUUAGAACAUCCUUAAUAUAAAGUGUAGAUUGUUCAAAUAUUUGUUCUUUAAUGCUAUAAACUAAUUUAUCACUAUUUUUUUUGUCAAACAAACCCUAAAUUUGCUAUAUAAGACGAAUUAAGGGGGAUGCAAAUUAUACAUGCUACAAAACAGCUCUGAUGAUGAUUAUUAAGUAGCUCUGGUCAUGAUAUUACACAUGGUUGCUUUGAAAUUGAGAUUCUAAUAGUACAACCAAAUAAUAGGAUACAAGUAAUUUGAAUUUUGAAUAAACCCCUUAAAUAAAAAAAAAAUAUUAAAUACUCCCUCUAAACACUAUUAUAAACAAAAAAUCACUUUUUAAUUUCAUUAAAAAAGUAAUGUAUUUAGUCUAUAUUACUGACCAUAUAACUAAUUUUUCAUUGAAUUUAAAAAAUGAUUUUAUUUAUUUAUUUAUUUAUUUAUUUUUAUAAUAAUGACAGAAGAGAUGAUUAAGUAAUGUUCCGCAAAUUUGAGAUUUUCCAUGUAUUUUUUUAUUUAUUUAUGGAUAAUGAUAUGCUCCGCCUCCACCUGGGCCAGUAGUAGGAUAACCGCCAACAUAAGUGUUUUGGAAAAGUUUUCGUCCUGCGCCAUAAUAAUUAAAGUAAGUCAAUAUUGAUUUAAUGAAAAAGAAAAAAAAAAAUCAUGUCCACUACUAUAAAACAUAGAUAGAUGCAUUGUAUGGUUAAUUAAUAUAUUUUGAAUUUGUGUAUGAUUUUUUUUUUUUUGAAAGAAAUUUGUGUAUGAUAUGAUUCUCACAAUUUUAUUUUAAAUAAAAUUAUAUAAACAAAAUAAAAAACAUACCGAGUUUAACGUUGGAUUGGGCAGCAAUAGCCAUAAUAGAUGACAAGAGUAAUAAAAGUAUUGCUAAAAGAGCAACAAGUGACUUCAAUUUGUAGAGAGGUGCCAUGUUUUUCAAACAAAAAUAAAAUCUAUUUAUAUAUUUAGUUAAUAUUAAUUGCAAGUUUAGGA